ACUCCUACGGGAGGCAGCAGUGGGGAAUAUUGCACAAUGGGCGCAAGCCUGAUGCAGCCAUGCCGCGUGUGUGAAGAAGGCCUUCGGGUUGUAAAGCACUUUCAGUCGUGAGGAAGGUAGUGUAGUUAAUAGCUGCAUUAUUUGACGUUAGCGACAGAAGAAGCACCGGCUAACUCCGUGCCAGCAGCCGCGGUAAUACGGAGGGUGCGAGCGUUAAUCGGAAUUACUGGGCGUAAAGCGCAUGCAGGUGGUUGUUAAGUCAGAUGUGAAAGCCCGGGGCUCAACCUCGGAAUAGCAUUUGAAACUGGCAGACUAGAGUACUGUAGAGGGGGUAGAAUUUCAGGUGUAGCGGUGAAAUGCGUAGAGAUCUGAAGGAUACCGGUGGCGAAGGCGGCCCCUGGACAGAUACUGACACUCAGAUGCGAAAGCGUGGGAGCAAACGAGGAUUAGAUACCCCUGGUAGACUGUCA
Molecule: ribosomal RNA, 470 nt
Filed under: uncultured bacterium
Lineage: Bacteria
Description: bacterial SSU rRNA
Rfam family: Bacterial small subunit ribosomal RNA
Source: RNAcentral